RNAcentral lists this ribosomal RNA (1493 nucleotides) under Candidatus Micrarchaeota archaeon CG1_02_55_41. RNAcentral describes it as "bacterial SSU rRNA". It matches the Rfam family "Archaeal small subunit ribosomal RNA". The record is from RNAcentral. Lineage: Archaea; Nanobdellati; Microcaldota.
AUACCAGUUGAUCCUGCUGGAGGGUACUGCUUUCGGACUUCGAUUAAGCCAUGCAAGUUUUUGUCAAGGCAUCUUGACAAAGCGGACGGCUCAGUAACACGUAGUCAACCUACCCUAGGGACGGGGAUAACCUCGGGAAACUGAGGGGAAUACCCGAUAGGUUAGAAUGCCUGGAAUGGCGUCUAGCCCAAACGAACCGUUAAUUGGAGCGGGAUACGCCCUAGGAUGGGACUGCGGCUGAUUAGGCUGUUGGUGAGGUAAUGGCUCACCAAACCAUUGAUCAGUAGGGGCUAUGCGAGUAGGAGCCCCGAGACGGGCACUGAGACAAGGGCCCGAGCCCUACGGGGUGCAGCAGGCGCGAAACUUCCGCAAUGCGCGAAAGCGUGACGGGGGGAGUCCGAGUGCCAUCCUAACGGAUGGCUUUUCGUGAGACCAAAUCUCUCACGGAAUAAGUGGUGGGUAAAUCUCGUGCCAGCCGCCGCGGUAAUACGAGUAGCACAAGUGGUACCCACGAAUAUUGAGCUUAAAGCGUUCGUAGCCGGCCAAGCCAGUUUCCUGUGAAAUCUGCGGGCUUAACCCGUAGGCGUGCAGGAAAUACUACUUGGCUAGGGAACGGGGGAGGUCAGGAGUACUCUAGGGGGAGCGGUAAAAUGCUGUAAUCCUUGGAGGACUAACGAUGGCGAAGGCACCUGACUAAAACGUGUCCGACGGUGAGGGACGAAGGCUAGGGGAGCGAACGGGAUUAGAUACCCCGGUAGUCCUAGCAGUAAAUCAUGCAGAUUUGGCGUUGCAUUCACCACGAGUGGGUGCAGUGCCGUAGGGAAACCGUUUAAUCUGCCGCUUGGGGAGUACGAUCGCAAGAUUGAAACUUAAAGGAAUUGGCGGGGGAGCACCACAAGGGGUGGAUGCUGCGGUUCAAUCGGACUCAACGCCGAGAAACUCACCAAGAGAGACGGCAGUAUGAAGCCCAGGCUAAAGACCUUGGCCGACGAGCCGAGAGGUGUUGCAUGGCCAGCGUCAGUUCGUGCCGUGAGGUGUCAGGUUAAGUCCUGCAACGAACGAGAUCUCCGUCAACAGUUGCUAGUUGCCCCUACGGGGGCGGCGCACUCUGUUGAUACUGCCUGCGUUAAGUGGGAGGAAGGAGGAGGCGACGCUAGGUCUGUAUGGCCCGAAUCUCUUGGGCCACACGUGGCAUACAAAGGCGCGGACAAUGGGUUCCGACACCGAAAGGUGAAGGCAAUCUCCUAAACCGCGUCCCAGUCCAGAUUGGGGGCUGAAACUCGUCCCCAUGAAGUUGGAAUCCCUAGUAAUCGCGUGUCAUCAUCGCGCGGUGAAUAUGUCCCCGCUCCUUGCACACACCGCCCGUCAAGCCAUUCAAGCGGGUUCCUAGCGAGGCCCCGACCAUCCGGUCGGGUUCGAACUAGGGGUCUGUGAGAGGGGUUAAGUCGUAACAAGGUAACCGUAGGGGAACCUGCGGUUAGAUCACCUCCAAA